AGGCUUGUAGCUCAGGUGGUUAGAGCGUCACCCCUGAUAAGGGUGAGGUCGGUGGUUCAAGUCCACUCAGGCCUACCA
RNAcentral lists this transfer RNA (78 nucleotides) under Shigella flexneri K-1770. RNAcentral's name for it is "tRNA-Ile". It matches the Rfam family "tRNA". From Rfam's summary of the family: Transfer RNA (tRNA) molecules are approximately 80 nucleotides in length. Their secondary structure includes four short double-helical elements and three loops (D, anti-codon, and T loops). The record is from RNAcentral. Lineage: Bacteria; Pseudomonadati; Pseudomonadota; Gammaproteobacteria; Enterobacterales; Enterobacteriaceae.